Non-coding RNA from Mastomys coucha (southern multimammate mouse), 393 nucleotides. The record is from the annotation of a RefSeq genome assembly. Lineage: Eukaryota; Metazoa; Chordata; Mammalia; Rodentia; Muridae.
GAGUGGAGUCAGCAUCACACUGAUCACACAGACAUGAGUGUGCCAACUCAGCUCCUGGCAUUGUUGCUGCUGUGGCAUACAGAUGCCAGAUGUGACAUCCAGAUGACUCAGUCUCCAGCCUCCCUGUCUGCAUCUGUGGGAGAAAGUGUCUCCAUCUCAUGUCGAGCAAGUGAAGACAUUCACAAUUAUUUACACUGGUAUCAGCAGAAACCAGGAAAAUCUCCUCAGCUCUUGAUCUAUAGUGCAACCAACUUGGAAGAUGGCAUCCCAUCCAGAUUCAGUGGCAGUGGAUCUGGCACACAGUAUUCUCUCAAGAUCAGCAGCCUACAGCCUGAAGAUGUUAGAACUUAUUACUGUCAAAGUGCUUAUGGUACAUCUCCCACAGUGAUUUAA